This 253-nucleotide ribosomal RNA is filed under the name uncultured bacterium. RNAcentral describes it as "partial 16S ribosomal RNA". It matches the Rfam family "Bacterial small subunit ribosomal RNA", at positions 524 to 776 of the family's 1533-position model. The record is from RNAcentral.
UACGAAGGUGGCAAGCGUUGUUCGGAUUUACUGGGCGUACAGGGAGCGCAGGCGGUUGGAUAAGCCCUCCGUGAAAUCUCCAGGCUUAACCUGGAAAGUGCAGAGGGGACUGUUCAGCUAGAGGAUGGGAGAGGAGCGCGGAAUUCCCGGUGUAGCGGUGAAAUGCGUAGAGAUCGGGAGGAAGGUCGGUGGCGAAGGCGGCGCUCUGGAACAUUUCUGACGCUGAGGCUCGAAAGCGUGGGGAGCAAACAGG